GAUGAACGCUGGCGGCGUGCCUAAUACAUGCAAGUCGAGCGAACAGACGAGGAGCUUGCUCCUCUGACGUUAGCGGCGGACGGGUGAGUAACACGUGGAUAACCUACCUAUAAGACUGGGAUAACUUCGGGAAACCGGAGCUAAUACCGGAUAAUAUAUUGAACCGCAUGGUUCAAUAGUGAAAGACGGUUUUGCUGUCACUUAUAGAUGGAUCCGCGCCGCAUUAGCUAGUUGGUAAGGUAACGGCUUACCAAGGCAACGAUGCGUAGCCGACCUGAGAGGGGGAGCGGCGGCAGUGGAACGGAGACACGGUCAAGACUACGACGGGAGGCAGCAGAAGGCAGUGGUCGGCAUGGGGCGAAAGCAUGACGGAGUAGCGGCGCGUGAGUGAUGAAGAUCUUCGGAGCGUAAAACUGUGUUAUGAGGGAAAAACAAAAGUGUACGUAACUAUGCACGUCGUGACGGUACCUAAUAAGAAAGCCACGGCUAACUACGUG
Molecule: ribosomal RNA, 497 nt
Filed under: uncultured bacterium
Lineage: Bacteria
Description: partial 16S ribosomal RNA
Rfam family: Bacterial small subunit ribosomal RNA
Source: RNAcentral